RNAcentral lists this ribosomal RNA (817 nucleotides) under marine sponge bacterium PLATEdelici-(3)-6. RNAcentral describes it as "bacterial SSU rRNA". It matches the Rfam family "Bacterial small subunit ribosomal RNA", at positions 54 to 903 of the family's 1533-position model. The record is from RNAcentral.
CAUGCAAGUCGUACGAGAGUUUUUAACUCUAGUGGCGGACGGGUGAGUAACACGUGAGAAUUUGCCUUUAGGAGGGGGAUAACAAUUGGAAACGAAUGCUAAUACCCCAUAUGCUUUCGAGUGAAAUGGAUUUAUAUUUAUCCGCCUAGAGAGAAGCUCGCGGCUGAUUAGCUUGUCGGUAAGGUAAGAGCUUACCAAGGCGACGAUCAGUAUCUGGUUUGAGAGGACGAUCAGACACACUGGAACUGAGACACGGUCCAGACUCCUACGGGAGGCAGCAGUGGGGAAUUUUCCGCAAUGGGCGAAAGCCUGACGGAGCAAUACCGCGUGAGGGAAGACUGCCUAUGGGUUGUAAACCUCUUUUUUCAGGGAGGAAUAAAAUGACGUGUACCUGAAGAAUAAGCAUCGGCUAACUCCGUGCCAGCAGCCGCGGUAAGACGGAGGAUGCAAGUGUUAUCCGGAAUCACUGGGCGUAAAGCGUCUGUAGGUGGUUUAAUAAGUCAACUGUUAAAUCUUGAGGCUCAACUUCAAAAUCGCAGUCGAAACUAUUAGACUAGAGUAUAGUAGAGGUAAAGGGAAUUUCCAGUGGAGCGGUGAAAUGCGUAGAUAUUGGAAAGAACACCGAUGGCGAAAGCACUUUACUGGGCUAUUACUAACACUCAGAGACGAAAGCUAGGGUAGCAAAUGGGAUUAGAUACCCCAGUAGUCCUAGCCGUAAACUAUGGAUACUAGAUGUUGAACAGAUCGACCUGUGCAGUAUCAAAGCUAACGCGUUAAGUAUCCCGCCUGGGAAGUAUGCUCGCAAGAGUGAAACUCA